GUAGAGGAGAUGAUGCAGGGGACAUAGGCUAUGACCUGGGGAUCCCUGGGCCCUCAGACAUGUGUCCUCUUCUCCCCCCUCCCAG
This 85-nucleotide microRNA precursor is filed under the name Nannospalax galili (Upper Galilee mountains blind mole rat). Its description in RNAcentral is "microRNA 877 (ENSNGAG00000008419.1)". It matches the Rfam family "mir-877 microRNA precursor family". Lineage: Eukaryota; Metazoa; Chordata; Mammalia; Rodentia; Spalacidae. The record is from Rfam by way of RNAcentral.